This 439-nucleotide ribosomal RNA is filed under the name uncultured bacterium. RNAcentral's name for it is "bacterial SSU rRNA". It matches the Rfam family "Bacterial small subunit ribosomal RNA", at positions 957 to 1391 of the family's 1533-position model. The record is from RNAcentral.
GAACGCGAAGAACCUUACCUAGGCUUGACAUUGAGAGAAUCCGCUAGAAAUAGUGGAGUGUCUAGCUUGCUAGACCUUGAAAACAGGUGCUGCACGGCUGUCGUCAGCUCGUGUCGUGAGAUGUUGGGUUAAGUCCCGCAACGAGCGCAACCCCCUUUCUUAGUUGCUAACAGGUUAUGCUGAGAACUCUAAGGAUACUGCCUCCGUAAGGAGGAGGAAGGUGGGGACGACGUCAAGUCAUCAUGGCCCUUACGCCUAGGGCUACACACGUGCUACAAUGGGGUGCACAAAGAGAAGCAAUACUGCGAAGUGGAGUCAAUCUUCAAAACACCUCUCAGUUCGGAUUGUAGGCUGCAACUCGCCUGCAUGAAGCUGGAAUCGCUAGUAAUCGCAAAUCAGCCAUGUUGCGGUGAAUACGUUCCCGGGUCUUGUACACACC